This is an RNA transcript of Tripterygium wilfordii, 3062 nucleotides long. RefSeq lists it as uncharacterized. NCBI's taxonomy places the organism in Eukaryota, Viridiplantae, Streptophyta, Magnoliopsida, Celastrales, Celastraceae. The record is from RefSeq and is a predicted model, not a curated record. The transcript has 4 exons.
AUUGUCCUCCGAGAAUUCACAUCGAGGGAGAGAUAAAACUGAGAGGGUUUCGUGGAUCGCAAUCCCAUCGACAAUGGCGUGCUCUGCUUGUCUAAACAAUUCUCCAAUCUGUCAAUACCGCGUAAUUUCGAGGAAACCUCAUCGGUAAGUCGCACGUUGAGAUCCUCAAGGAAGUGGAAGCGUAAGUCCGAACUCCGAUCUGUGCAAGAGACCAUGGUUGCGCAACCCUAAAGAUCUUCCGUGUUGAAUCCUGAAGUGACGUCGAAGCUUCCGAAUAAGGGAGGAGGAAGAAUGCCCACUCUAUUGUGGGCCGGGCCUUAAGUAUGGGCCUAGUGCUAGUCCACUCCCGCGGCUGUGCGUAUAACUCACGCCUCUGAGGCUCUCUCCCUUUUAAUUUUGAUGUUGUCCUCCGAGGGAUAAUACUGAGAGGGUUUCGUGGAUCGCCAUCGCCGACGACGUGCUCUGCUUGUCUAAACAAGUCUACGGUCUGUCAAUCUUGCGCAAUGUCGAGGAGACCUCAUCGGUAAUUCGCACGUUGAGAUCUUAAGGACGUGGAAGCGUUAGUGCGAUCUGUGUAAGAGACCUUGGUUGCGCAACGUUAAAGAUCUUCCGCGUUGAAUCAUGAAGUGACGUCGAAGCGGCUGAAUAAGAUUCACAUAAUAGGAUCCCAGUAUCAAUGAAGCCUAGGAAGAAAAAAAUAUGGGCAGAUCAUUUGAAGUCGGGAAGCAAAAAAGGUAUAUAUGUAUUCAGAUUUCAGCAUAUAAUACUUUUCUAGAUGUGUUUUGGAUACCUUUUCUUUUCAUUACUUUGUGGAGACUUGAUUAGCUUUUUAUUACAUGAUUUCUUUUACAAGCACUUAUUAUGAGCGGUGCAAUUAUAACUGGAGAUAAACACCUAAAAGUAUGCCAUGUUUCUGGUGAAGGUUUAUUUUACUUAUUUCCGAUCCUGCAGAGUUCAUAGAAGAGACACAAGACACUGUAUCUCAUGGUAUACCUGUCUUAUCUCUUUCUCUGCAGUUCUUUAAUCUUGUUAUGAGACUCAAAUUUGUUCGAGAGCCUGCGUUGUAAAUUGAGCCUGCAUUCUUUAUUGAUUGUCUUAUCUCUUUCCUUUAUGGUUUAGUCUUGUUAAAUAUCAUCUGCGAUUUUUUUCGUUUAGCAUUUAUCAUUUUGUUUGUUUAUUUUGUUCAUUCAAUUUUGCGUGUCUUUAAAUUUCCAUCCGGUGGCUUUCAUAGUCUUUCAAGAAGGAAAUUGAUCUCUCAUGGCCAUUUCUGGAACUUCAAACACUUUGAAAUUAUAUUGAACAACCACUGACUGAGAUGAGUUUCUUAUUAAGUGCUUUGUCUGCUCUAAUGUUGCUGAAUAAUAAUGAUUGAUACUAAUAUGUUUCCUCUCUCAUUAAAGGCCUCCUAAUCAAACAACCACAAGACUAAACAAAACAGGAUAACUCGAAGUUAUGUGACAAAGGACCUGUACAGUAGUUCACUAAAUACUCCUUUUGAUCCAGCUCCUAAUAAAAGGCAAGGCAUAUUACCUGUUCGCUUGGACAUUGAUCCCCACUGAAGCAUUAUAUGUUGUGACCCCUCUAUAAUUUUGUGGUCAGUUCAACUGGGUCCAGUCUUUUCGUGGAAGCUAAUUCUAAUUUUUUAUGUUAAUUACACUUGCUGCUUUACACUUUUGUGGUAUUGGUAUUCAUUCUAACUGAUACGCGGUUGAAGUUUGCAUCAUGUGAUACAAUUGUAGAGGUGAUCUACAAGCAUACCAUCUCCACACUAAAGAAUCGAUGCAGCAAACCUGGAGCUGCUGUUGUUUUGCUGACAAUCUUGUAUCUUUCCUCAACAAUGCCAAAGGGGCAACUGUUAUUGAUGUGGAUGCUCUUUGGUUUCUUAGCUUAGUGGAAAUCUUCGAGUCCUCUGUUUCUAUUUAAUAAUUUGAUUUUUUUCUUUUUAUUUCUUGGCAGUGAAGAAGCUAGGUUUGUGGGGGCUGGGGGGGGUCUCUUGCUGUGGCCUGUGGGUUCCUCUUCAGAGACUAGUGCUGGAACUCGGUUGGCAUCUUCGAUUGAGGCAUUCAAUGUUUUACUUGGAAUAAGCAGAUGUGUUCCAAGACUUCAAUCGAAAGGGAAUGUGGGAUGCAGCCAUCGGCGCAGUGGUUUAUUACCCAUCCCACCUUAUUGAUUUGGUGGCGUAUUUUGCCAGAAAAGGAUAGAAGGUAAGAAAGGGAUUGGCCGAGACUUUGUUGCAAAGUAGACGAAAAAGUAACCAAUCUAGGAGGCCCUUGAACGUUUGAAAAACAGCUGGAAUAUCUUAUGAAAAGGACAACAAAGCUUUGAUGCAAUGGGCUCACAAUUGCCAUUGACUAUUCAGCCCUGCUUCAAUGGGUUUGAUGUAACAGAUGUGGCGGGCCGCUCGGAAACAUAUAUGUCCUCUUAAUGGUGACUGGGGCAACUUCAAGGGGUAUGGGCAUGCGUGUAGUUCCUCUUCGCUGGGCUGGUCUAGUUCCUCUUCAAAUGGUCCUUAAGCGUAAUUUGACUGGGCUUAUUGGGCCCAGUUAAUUUUGCAAGAGGCCUCUUCACUUAAUUUCGUACCUGGUUGCUUUAGUCACACUCUAGUUUUUUUAGAAGACACCCUGGCAAUUGAUUUGUACGGGGUGGUUAACUUAAAUUGGGGUGUCUUUAAAAAAUAUCAGGGUGACUAAAGCUACCCUUCGGCACCUAGGAGUAUUGGCAUUGAGUCAGUGGGGCUUAUAGGCCCAUUAGUCUCACGGCCCACUGGAUUCAAUUCAAUUCUACUCUAUGGUUUCGGUCCAAAAUAACUUGUCCAAAGACAAUAAGCCCAUGUAACUGAUUCUCUUUGUAAUUGGCCGUAAGACCAACCUGAAAAUCCCUCGUCAGUCCAUGGACUUUAGAACCAGGCCCAUUUGUUUUAAGUGCAAUUUAUGUUGGUCCUUAGCCCAAUUUUAAUGGGCUUUCGGGCCCAAUCUUAGUGUGCUAUUAGGUUCACUUUUAAUGGACUUUUGGCCCAGUUUUGGUGGGCUUUUGGGCCCACUUUUGAUGGACUUUUUGAUCGA